Chenopodium quinoa (quinoa) is the source of this 1471-nucleotide long non-coding RNA. RefSeq lists it as uncharacterized. NCBI's taxonomy places the organism in Eukaryota, Viridiplantae, Streptophyta, Magnoliopsida, Caryophyllales, Amaranthaceae. The transcript is spliced from 5 exons. The record is from RefSeq and is a predicted model, not a curated record.
AUAUAACACUCGUGUAACACUUUAGUUUUAUGUAGCACUUAGUUGUAACAUUUUUAUAUUAGGUAGCACUUAAUUGUAACACUUUAGUUUUAUAUAUCAUUUGGUUGUAACACUUUGAUAUUAGUAGCAUUUGAUAAAAAAAAAACACAAAUACUUUUUUAUGACUUCUCUCUUUCCUCCUUUACUCUUUCUCAAAACCCGAUCUCAAAUUUCCCUCUUUUAAAAACUCAGUUUCUCACUCACCGCCUCACCAGCCACGCCGACGCCCUCCAAUGGCUAUUGAAGCUCUCACCGGCACGCCCUCCAAUGGCUAUUGAAGCUCUCACCGGCCACCCUACGUCCCCACCCACUGGCCAAAGAAGGCGGUUACCCCACGAGCACGGGGGUUGAGUGACGAAAGGGGCUUUCUGUUAGGAAACCCUAGAUAAAAAUUCAAUAGAAACUAUGAUGAUGGGUGAGAUUUUGAUAAAGAUGAUGUGAUAAAUCAAUAGCAACACCUACAUCAACAACGAGCAGCAUCAAUCAUGAAUUGUAUAAGGACAUAGGAAUAUAGGGUGGUUGAUUUUAGCGUAGAGAGAGAGAGCGGCGAGAUGAUAAAUUGGCAAAUAGCAUCGAUUCCAUCUUGGACCAGUGAGGUACAAGAACAUGAGGAGACAUUGAAAUGAAGUUUGUGAUCCAAAGAGGGGCCUCCACCAAGGUAGCCAUUGUCUCUUGGAGAUUUGGCAGCUUCAUGCUCAGGUUGACACCACGUCAAAAGCAAAUGGGCAUAAUGCGUAAGUCUGCAUGGGCUUUGGAAGAUAGUGUCUCCCACUGCUUUAACUUAAAUCCAAGCUUGUAUAAUAGUCAGGUUGAGGUGGAAAGAAUGAAAGCCAAAACACAAGAUAAGUUCAUGAACAAGCUUGCUAUUGCAAGGCACACAGCUGAAGAAAAGCGGGCGGCUGCUGAAACAAAAGUGAAUAAGCAAGCAGCAUAGACUGAGUAACAGGCUGAGUAUAUCAGAAAGAUUGGCUGACUACCUUCCAAAUUUUCGUCCUGGAGUUGCUGUUGUUAAUGUUCUGUGCUUGUCAUUCUUGUGUUCUCUCCACUUAGUGGAAAUUAGGUGGAGCCUUACUCAGUAGCUGAUUUUCACUAUUAUUCAAGAACAUGAAAAUUUCAGGCAACUUAGGCCUUUUCUAAUGAAUUCGGCUUGAACAGUUGUGAAAUGGAGGGAAAUCCCAAGAAUCCCCAUACCAAAUGAACCCAUUCACCGUCACUUCGAUACACAUUCAAUAAUGUAUGAAACUAUACUAACGUUACCAAGCAAAAUGAGUGCUUCUGUUGUUGCGUGCUGCUGCUGUUCUGCUUAUGUGCUGCUGUUGUUCUGUUUCCGAGCUGCUGCGUGCUGCUCUGUUUCCGAGCUGCUGUUGUUUUAUUUCCGGGCUGCUGCUGUUCUGUUUCCAAGAAGCUGUUGCUGUUUCAUAUAUAUAUAUAU